UACAGAGGGUGCUAGCGUUGUUCGGAAUCAUUGGGCGUAAAGGGCGUGUAGGCGGUUUGUUAAGUCAUGUGUGAAAUCCCGGGGCUCAACCUCGGAACUGCCUUUGAUACUGCGAAUCUUGAGUCCGAUAGAGGUGGGUGGAAUUCCUAGUGUAGAGGUGAAAUUCGUAGAUAUUAGGAAGAACACCGGUGGCGAAGGCGGCCCACUGGAUCGGUACUGACGCUGAGGUGCGAAAGCGUGGGGAGCAAACAGG
This 253-nucleotide ribosomal RNA is filed under the name uncultured bacterium. RNAcentral describes it as "partial 16S ribosomal RNA". It matches the Rfam family "Bacterial small subunit ribosomal RNA", at positions 524 to 776 of the family's 1533-position model. The record is from RNAcentral.